AGGCUAUGAUGUGGGCACUUCCUCAAUAGGUCCUUGAAUCUCUCCCAAGCUUCAUACAAACUCUUUUGAUCAUGGUGGACAAAAGUCAUUAUCUCAUUGUGAAGCUU
This 107-nucleotide small nucleolar RNA is filed under the name Jatropha curcas. RNAcentral describes it as "Plant small nucleolar RNA R71". It matches the Rfam family "Plant small nucleolar RNA R71". Rfam says of the family: R71 is a member of the C/D box family of snoRNAs containing the C (UGAUGA) and D (CUGA) box motifs. Multiple nearly identical copies of this snoRNA have been identified in Arabidopsis, and it is thought to function as a 2'-O-ribose methylation guide for 18S ribosomal RNA. The record is from Rfam by way of RNAcentral. Lineage: Eukaryota; Viridiplantae; Streptophyta; Magnoliopsida; Malpighiales; Euphorbiaceae.